ACAGUGUGUGAUGAGGAGUGGGGGAGGAAGACACAGAUCAGGAGAGUACCUGUUGUAACUGAACCCC
RNAcentral lists this long non-coding RNA (67 nucleotides) under Anser cygnoides (Swan goose). RNAcentral's name for it is "lncRNA (ENSACDG00005012005.1)". Lineage: Eukaryota; Metazoa; Chordata; Aves; Anseriformes; Anatidae. The record is from RNAcentral.